Molecule: ribosomal RNA, 448 nt
Filed under: uncultured soil bacterium
Lineage: Bacteria
Description: bacterial SSU rRNA
Rfam family: Bacterial small subunit ribosomal RNA
Source: RNAcentral
AGAACGAACGCUGGCGGCAGGCUUAACACAUGCAAGUCGAACGCAUCUCUUCGGAGAUGAGUGGCAGACGGGUGAGUAACGCGUGGGAACGUACCCUUUGGUUCGGGAUAACCCGGGGAAACUCGGGCUAAUACCGGAUAAGCCGGAAACGGGAAAGGUUUACUGCCGAAGGAUCGGCCCGCGUCGGAUUAGCUAGUUGGUGUGGUAACGGCGCACCAAGGCGACGAUCCGUAGCUGGUCUGAGAGGAUGAUCAGCCACACUGGGACUGAGACACGGCCCAGACUCCUACGGGAGGCAGCAGUGGGGAAUAUUGGACAAUGGGCGCAAGCCUGAUCCAGCCAUGCCGCGUGAGUGAAGAAGGCCCUAGGGUUGUAAAGCUCUUUCAGCGGGACGAUAAUGACGGUACCCGCAGAAGAAAGCCCCGGCUAACUUCGUGCCAGCAGCCGC